Molecule: small nucleolar RNA, 76 nt
Organism: Lolium perenne
Lineage: Eukaryota; Viridiplantae; Streptophyta; Magnoliopsida; Poales; Poaceae
Source: RefSeq, a predicted model, not a curated record
GAGCAUAUGAUGACUACAUAUGAUUCUUAUGAUACAUUUGAUGUUACAAAAUUGAGCUUUUUAGAACUGAUGCCAG